This 901-nucleotide small RNA is filed under the name Pan troglodytes (chimpanzee). RNAcentral describes it as "processed transcript". Lineage: Eukaryota; Metazoa; Chordata; Mammalia; Primates; Hominidae. The record is from RNAcentral.
GUACCUGUGCCGGGUGGAGGAGAUGCGCCAGUCCCUGAGAAUUAUCGCACAGUGUCUAAACAAGAUGCCUCCUGGGGAGAUCAAGGUUGAUGAUGCCAAAGUGUCUCCACCUAAGCGAGCAGAGAUGAAGAGAUGGGGUUUCACUCUGUUGGCCAGGCUGGUCUUGAACACCUGACCUCUUGAUCUGCCCACCUCAGCCUCCCAAACUGCUGGAAUUACAAGCACUUCCAUGGAGUCACUGAUUCAUCACUUUAAGUUGUAUACUGAGGGCUACCAAGUUCCUCCAGGAGCCACAUAUACUGCCAUUGAGGCUCCCAAGGGAGAGUUUGGGGUGUACCUGGUGUCUGAUGGCAGCAGCCGCCCUUAUCGAUGCAAGAUCAAGGCUCCUGGUUUUGCCCAUCUGGCUGGUUUGGACAAGAUGUCUAAGGGACACAUGUUGGCAGAUGUCGUUGCCAUCAUAGGUACGAGGCCUAUUGUGUAGUAGAGGUAUCCUAGACAAAGGAGUUCGGGACACCCACUGGGGACAGAAGGAGAACACUUCCUGUUCACCAUAGGCCAUGGCAUGGACUCGGGUCCUCAAUCUUUUGAGCACAGUAAUGGGUUCUGGAUCUUGGGUAACACCACUUUUUUUGUUUGUUUUGCCUCACAACAGGAAGAUAAGUAACAUCACUUUUUUCCUCCAUCCUCUCACCUAGGUACCCAAGAUAUUGUAUUUGGAGAAGUAGAUCGGUGAGCAGGGGAGCAGCGUUUGAUCCCCCCUGCCUAUCAGCUUCUUCUGUGGAGCCUGUCCCUCACUGGAAAUUGGCCUCUGUGUGUGUGUGUGUGUGUGUGUGUGUGUGUGUAUGUUCAUGUACACUUGGCUGUCAGGCUUUCUGUGCAUGUACUAAAAAAGGAGAAAUUA